This 202-nucleotide unclassified non-coding RNA is filed under the name Hevea brasiliensis (rubber tree). Lineage: Eukaryota; Viridiplantae; Streptophyta; Magnoliopsida; Malpighiales; Euphorbiaceae. The record is from RNAcentral.
CGCCGCGUGGCUCUUGUUGAAGCCGUAGUCGGCGAACUUCGCGAGCAGUUCGAAGAUGGUUUCGGCCUGCCCUUUCGGCACCCCGUUCUUCACAGAACCGGCGACGAAACCGGCGCGCUGCUUGUCCAUUUCCGCGCGGAUCUUUUUACCCAUCGCGCGGCGCAGCAGGUCAGCAUCCCCGAGCGAGUAGCCGGCCAUGACC